GAUGAACGCUGGCGGCGUGCCUAAUACAUGCAAGUCGAGCGAACGGACGAGAAGCUUGCUUCUCUGAUGUUAGCGGCGGACGGGUGAGUAACACGUGGAUAACCUACCUAUAAGACUGGGAUAACUUCGGGAAACCGUAGCUAAUACCGGAUAAUAUUUUGAACCGCAUGGUUCAAAAGUGAAAGACGGUCUUGCUGUCACUUAUAGAUGGAUCCGCGCUGCAUUAGCUAGUUGGUAAGGUAACGGCUUACCAAGGCAACGAUGCAUAGCCGACCUGAGAGGGUGAUAGGCCACCCUGGAACUGAGACACGGUCCAGACUCCUAAGGGAGGCAGCAGUAGGGAAUCUUCCGCAAUGGUCGAAAGCCUGACGGAGCAACGCCGCGUGAGUGAUGAAGGUCUUCGGAUCGUAAAACUCUGUUAUUAGGGAAGAACAUAUGUGUAAGUAACUGUGCACAUCUUGACGGUACCUAAUCAGAAAGCCACGGCUAACUACGUG
Molecule: ribosomal RNA, 497 nt
Filed under: uncultured bacterium
Lineage: Bacteria
Description: partial 16S ribosomal RNA
Rfam family: Bacterial small subunit ribosomal RNA
Source: RNAcentral